GACGAACGCUGGCGGCGUGCGUAACACAUGCAAGUCGAACGAGAGAGUGAGAGAAGCUUGCUUUUCUUAUGAUCGAGUGGCAAACGGGUGAGUAACGCGUAAACAACCUGCCCCGCAGAUGGGGACAACAGCUGGAAACGGCUGCUAAUACCGAAUACGCUCCUCUUAGCGCAUGGUAAGAGGAAGAAAGGGUGGCCUCUGGAACAAGCUACCGCUGUGGGAGGGGUUUGCGUCUGAUUAGCUGGUUGGAGGGGUAACGGCCCACCAAGGCGACGAUCAGUAGCCGGUCUGAGAGGAUGAACGGCCACAUUGGAACUGAGACACGGUCCAGACUCCUACGGGAGGCAGCAGUGAGGAAUCUUCCGCAAUGGGCGAAAGCCUGACGGAGCAACGCCGCGUGAGUGAAGACGGCCUUCGGGUUGUAAAGCUCUGUUAUAGGGGACGAACGGCCGGGUAGCGAAGAGGUAGCCGGCANGACG
Molecule: ribosomal RNA, 479 nt
Filed under: uncultured bacterium
Lineage: Bacteria
Description: bacterial SSU rRNA
Rfam family: Bacterial small subunit ribosomal RNA
Source: RNAcentral